CAGAAUGACAAAAAGAAACUAAUAGAAAUAUGGGAAGUCUUCUAUGAAUUUAGGUCAAGAAAAGUUUAUCACAGACAUCAAGAUCAAACCUUAAACAAAAGCAGAUCCACUCCAUGCAUGAAGUUUGAGAAAUCAGCCUUUUCCAGUGUAGUCAUUCAAAAAACACACUUCAUUGCAGCUACUCCAUGUUGGCUCUGAGUUCAUUCCUCAAAAUACCUCUCUGCAGUAAUCAAAAAGCAGUUGUUAAAUAAAAAUAAAAUUAUC
Monodelphis domestica (gray short-tailed opossum) is the source of this 264-nucleotide long non-coding RNA. RefSeq lists it as uncharacterized. NCBI's taxonomy places the organism in Eukaryota, Metazoa, Chordata, Mammalia, Didelphimorphia, Didelphidae. The record is from RefSeq and is a predicted model, not a curated record.